ACCAUGGUUAUAUUCUGAUUUUAAUGCAAAUAUGCCUUCUCAAGAACUUGUCAUAAUAAAUACUGUCUUAAAGGGUUCUUGAACCUUAAAUUUUUAAUGCUUUCUCCUCAUUUAUCCAUUUGUUUCUAAUGCCCAUCUUGACCAGGACUCUGUGGUAGAAUAUUGUAUCUCAGCGGGACCUCCCUGGUUAAAAUAAUCCCUGGUUAAAAUAAUUGCUUCUGACUCUUGGUAGCAAAAUUUUAAAUGUUUGCCUUAGGGCCAGUGUUAAUGUUGGCAUGGAUACUGGACCAACUAAGCCAGCAAAAAAAUAAAUAAUAAUAAUGAUAAAAUUAAAAAUCCUUAUUGUUGAAACCUGCAAUACAGUUCUAAUACAGACCUAGUCUGUGUGUUUGUUCAGAGGCUAAUGGGAUUAACCUUGCAUCUCUCUAAAAUGGAAAUGUUUUCACAUAACCACUCCUGGAAAUUUUUCCCAUUGCAAAUGGCUUGUGAUUGUAACAUGUGUAUGUUGCUUAGCAACUCCAGAUGGAUGUGCAUUAAGUAAAUCAUUUUACACCAUGUGAAAAUCCAGAAUGGAGCUGAAAGGUAUUUUCACAGCAUUUAUAGGUGCCCAUCUUUCAAGCAGUUGUCUCAUCGAAGCGAAUUUAACAGUGGAGCUGGAGAAUGUUUCCAUUGCUCACGUUGGACUGUAAUUGAAAGGAACAGAGAAAAUGAUCAUCUGGACUUGCUAACACCCAAGACGAGAACUUGGAUUGAUGAGAAAGUGGAAAGCACCGGACGUUGGGUAAACAUGGUCAACCUGGACCAGAAAUGGACCUGGUUUCACCACAGUGGAGUUGGUUGGACAUCACAACAGCAGUUUGGCAGAAUGACAAAGCUGGUGUCACUCUUCAACCCUAGAGAAUCCAGAAUAUGUUCCAGUGCCUCAACAACUCAAGCAGUGAGUUUGUCAUCGUCUCAUGGGACACAUUAGAACAUGGAUCACAUGCCUGAGAACGAAAGGGAAGGACACACAGCAGCCUGGGAAAGGAAACAGACGUCCAGCGGCUCAGUGGCUGUCAUUGCGAAAGCAAAUUCCCACUCUAAUUACCAUCAAGAGUUUCUGUGACUGUGUGCGUCUCUCUCACAGCACAGGCUCUCAAGACACUUCAACUGGUCUUCCAGCACAAGCAGGUAAUGUAAUCUGAAGGGGCUGCUCCAAAGGCAAGGGAUGGAGAGAAGCAGGGCCUCUGUGAUUUCUGCCCAUUUCAUCACAUGUUUAGCUUUCGCAGGCUUGGUGGGAGCAGGGAAGCCCUGGUUGCCGCCAGAAGUGUGUAGGACACUGCUAUGUGACAAAGUCACUUUUGAUGCCAAUGCUUAUAAAUUUUGUGUUGAGCCAUUCAAUCAAACCAUGGCAAACACUGACUACCAACUCAGAUGUCCCUGGCCAAGCACUAGAAGAGACUACGUCAAACUGAUUCUGUGCCUGGAGGAUCUGGCUAACUCCACAUGCUGUAAAGACGUUUCCUACAGACACGACCUAAUGCUGGACAUCCAUAAGGUUUAUUUCUCCAUGUGCUCAUAUAUGCAAGACCCAGGAAUUCCCAUCCUUCUGAUGCUCAUCUUGCCCUGUGUCAUCAUCCCAUUCUUUAUACCAUUCAUCUGCCAGUACUUCAAACUGCAGGAGUAUAGACUGCCAAACAACUAAUGAUUGGACAGUGUUUUGCAUUUCAGAAUGCACAAUGUGCAUGAAUAAAAAGUACAUAUUUUAUAAAAAAAAUUUGUAGGCCUCACAAUAUAUAAGUUUCCUAAAGUCCAUAUUGUUAGAUUACAUUUAUGCAUUUGGGAGACAAUUAUUCCAAGCAACUUAUAUUGCAUUUAGGGUACAAAAUAUGUGUAAUUGUUCACAUAUUCAGCAUUUUUUUUUUUUUUUGUAUAUAUUAAUUUGUGUACAUCCAUCCUAAUAUGAUGUUUAUUUUGUGCUCAAGAAACAUUUCUUAUGACCAAUGUUUAAAACUGUUGUGCUGCUUAAUAUUUUUGUGAAAAAAAAAAAAAAAAAAAAAAAAAGAUUUUUAGGAUCCUCCCAAAAAUCUAAACAACUUACUGAAACCAAACUUUAAAGCAACUUUGCAUAUAUUAUGAGCUGGAUGGUAGGCAAAGAAAAUAAAAGAAAAGAGUAAUAGUGUGUAAUAUAUAGUAUUUAUAUAACAUAUUUGAACCUUUUUUUUUUUUUUUGCUACUGCUCAGUCCUAUUCAUAGCAGUCGCUAAACAAUAAUUUACACAGUCGAUGCAAAGGCAUUUUAAACACGUAAUAAAUAUUUAUUUUGACAAAAAAAAAAAAAAAAAGAAAUUUGUACAGUGCUCUGAAAACAGUUUUUUCUUUUUACAGAAUAGCAAUCGGUACUGCUAUUAAAUAUCCACAUAACAUCAUAGUAUUUUCAGUAUUGCUAAUGCUAAAGUAACACAUCAUUUUUACCAUAUGAACUCAAAAUGUUUGUCUUAUUUUCUGACAGACAAACUACAUGUCUUUAUGACCAGGCAACACUUUCAGAUCUAUAGAGGCCUUUCUGACACAGUCUAAAAUGAUGCAAACUCAAAAAGACUAAAUGACAUAAAGGAUCUUUUCCAGUGUGUUUUUUUUUUUUUUUUUUUUUUUUUUGUUAUCUAGGGGUCAUUUACGUGGAUCUAAAAUACAAAGUAAAUUAGUAUUGUUUGUAAUAGCAUGUGACAGAGGUAAGCAUUUUCCUUUGUACAAUGAGUCUCAGUAGUCUGAACUGAUGCACUGUUUAUAACUGAGUAAAAUGCUUUGUUAGAACCAAAACACUGUCUUUAGUGUUGUGUGUAUCUGUGUGCACUGCUGAAUGCAAAAUAUGUUGGGUGCGAAUGAGAUUAAUAUAAUCUGACUGCAAAUA
RNA transcript from Carassius auratus (goldfish), 2889 nucleotides. RefSeq lists it as uncharacterized. NCBI's taxonomy places the organism in Eukaryota, Metazoa, Chordata, Actinopteri, Cypriniformes, Cyprinidae. The transcript is spliced from 6 exons. The record is from RefSeq and is a predicted model, not a curated record.